UGGGGAAUAUUGCACAAUGGGGGAAACCCUGAUGCAGCGACGCCGCGUGAGUGAAGAAGUAUUUCGGUAUGUAAAGCUCUAUCAGCAGGGAAGAUAAUGACAGUACCUGACUAAGAAGCCCCGGCUAACUACGUGCCAGCAGCCGCGGUAAUACGUAGGGGGCAAGCGUUAUCCGGAUUUACUGGGUGUAAAGGGAGCGUAGACGGAAUGGCAAGUCUGAAGUGAAAUACCCGGGCUCAACCUGGGAACUGCUUUGGAAACUGUUGUUCUAGAGUGUUGGAGAGGUAAGUGGAAUUCCUGGUGUAGCGGUGAAAUGCGUAGAUAUCAGGAAGAACACCGGAGGCGAAGGCGGCUUACUGGACAAUAACUGACGUUGAGGCUCGAAAGCGUGGGGAUCAAACAGGAUUAGAUACCCUGGUAGUCCACGCUGUAAACGAUGAAUACUAGGUGUCGGGGUGCAAAGCAUCUCGGUGCCGUCGCUAACGCAAUAAGUAUUCCACCUGGGGAGUACGUUCGCAAGAAUG
RNAcentral lists this ribosomal RNA (524 nucleotides) under uncultured bacterium. RNAcentral describes it as "bacterial SSU rRNA". It matches the Rfam family "Bacterial small subunit ribosomal RNA", at positions 355 to 896 of the family's 1533-position model. The record is from RNAcentral.